Molecule: unclassified non-coding RNA, 261 nt
Filed under: Hevea brasiliensis (rubber tree)
Lineage: Eukaryota; Viridiplantae; Streptophyta; Magnoliopsida; Malpighiales; Euphorbiaceae
Source: RNAcentral
GAGAGUACGAGCUUUCAGGCUUUUAUCAGUUAUAAUUAAAGGGUCUGAUCUCUCCUCUUUUUCCAUUUAUUUUUUCCUUUGGUACCAUAUCUAACAUAGUGAUUUUGUGCUGUUUGGUUUUCAUGUUGAUUAGUCAGAAUCUUGGUAUUUUUUGCGUCUUAUUUCAGUUUUCAUUUCUAUUCAAAUUCUUGGGUCCAUAGGUGUUGGUGCAUGCUCAGAAAAAGAAAAGAGAGAGUCCUCUUCCAUUAGGGUUCAUUUGUU